GCACGUAAGGGCGUAUGGUGGAUGACUUGGCAGUGAGGAGCCGAAGAAGGACGUGGCAGUCUGCGAAAAGUCUCGGGGAGGUGACUAGCAACCUGUGAUCCGAGAAUCUCCGAAUGGGGUAACCCAUGCCGGUGAAGCCGGCAUGCGGCGCAUGGAAUACAUACGUGCGCGCGCGGGCACCUGGGGAAGUGAAACAUCUCAGUACCCAGAGGAAAAGAGAACAUGAAUGGCUGACAACUUGUCUCGCAGGGUGUCGGAGGCCUGACAAACAGGCCACGGACGACAUCAUGUUGAGACAAGAUGUCAGCUUGAUUCCGUGAGUAGCGGCGAGCGAAAGCGGACGAGCCUAAACAGUAUGCGUGGAUCCAUGAUACCGAGUUGGACGCAAGUUUGACCGCGGAUCAUGGUGAUGAGCUUUGGCUGACGCGUGUAUUGGGUUGUGGACCGGACAUCGGAGCACCAAAGAGCUCCGGAGAUGAGAGCAAUAUCAUAGAUGAAUCGGCUGGAAAGCCGGACCAAAGAAGGUGAUAGUCCCGUCGUCGAAAUGAUGUUGCCCAUCUGUCCGUGAUCCUGAGUACUGCGGGACUCGUGAAAUCCCGUAGGAAGCAGCCGUGACGAUGCGGCAAGGCUAAAUACUCCUCCUGACCGAUAGUGAACAAGUACAGUGAUGGAACGUUGAAAAGCAGCCCGGGAGGGCGAUGAAAUAGUAUCUGAAACCAUACGCUUACAAGGAGUCGGAGUCCCGGUUUACCGGGAUGACGGCGUUCCUAUUGAAGAAUGAGCCAACGAGUGUGCUGUAUGUCGCUGGUUAAUCCGCCGAGGCGGAGAAGCCGCAGCGAAAGCGAGUCUGAAUAGGGCGACUCUAUAGUGGCAUGCACACAACCCGAAACCCGGUGACCUAACCAUGACCAGGAUGAAGGCGGUCGAACAACCGCUGGAGGUCCGAACCCACUCGCCGUGCAACACGAGGGGAUGAGUUGUGGUUAGCGGAGAAAUUCCAAUCGAACUGGGUAAUAGCUGGUUCUCCCUGAAAUAGAUUGUGGUCUAGCGUCAGUACACAGCAAAACGGGGGUAGAGCACUGAAUGGGGGCGGGGGCGCAAGCUUACCGUCUCUAACCAAACUCCGAAUACCGUUUUGCGUUCCUGGCAGUCAGUCUCUGGGGGCUAAGCUCCAGUGGACAAAAGGGAAACAGCCCUAGACCGCAGACUAAGGUCCCUAAAUUCAUGCUCAGUGUAAAAGGUGGUGGGACGGCUUAUACAACCAGGAGGUUGGCUUAGAAGCAGCCAUCCUUUAAAGAAAGCGUAACAGCUCACUGGUCAAGCUAUCCUGCGCCGAAAACUUACCGGGGCUUAAGCAUGAUACCGAAGUCGCGGAUUGCGUUCCGGCUCUGGCCGGAAGCAGUGGUAAGGGAGCGUUCGCAGGGCGAUGAAGCGGAAGGCGUGAGCCGCCGUGGAGCGCUGCGAAGUGAGAAUGUUGGCAUAAGUAGCAAAAAGACGGGUGAGAAUCCCGUCCACCGUAAACCCAAGGUUUCCAGGGCAACGAGAAUCGUCCCUGGGUUAGUCGGUCCUAAGGCGAGGCCGAAAGGCGUAGUCGAUGGAGAGCAGGUGAAUAUUCCUGCACCACCGUAGAGUUUCAAUGGAGUGACGCAUCCUUCAACUUCUCGAGAUUCCUGGAAUGAAUCUUCGGGCACCGAGGGGCGCUGCAUAGGCAAAUCCGUGCAGCAUCCGCCUCGCGGUGAUCGCGAUUCCCGCGCAAGCGGGGAAAGGAGAGGGACUGGGGUGCCGAGAAAACCUUCUAGAGCUAACUCUGCGGUGCCCGUACCGCAAACCGACACAGGUGGGUAGGCAUACGUGUGCUAAGGUGUACGAGAGAACCCACGUUUAGGAACUCGGCAAAACAGCGUCCGUAACUUCGGAAUAAGGACUGCCGCGUAAGGCGCAAGCCUCUACGCGGCCGCAGCGAAAGACGUCAACCGACUGUUUACCAAAAACACAGCUCCCUGCGAAACCGUAAGGUGAUGUAUAGGGGGUGAUGCCUGGCCAGUGUCAGAACGUUAAGCGGAGAGGUCAAUCCUUCGGGAGGCAGCCUUGAAGCCAAGCGCUGAUGAACGCCGGCGAUAACUAUAAUCGUCCUAAGGUAGCGAAAUUCCUUGUCGGGUGAGUUCCGACCCGCACGAAUGGCAUAACGAGUUGACGACUGUCUCAACGUGGGACUCGGUGAAAUUGCAAGUGGGGUGAAGAUGCCCUGUACGCGCAGUCAGACGAAAAGACCCCGUGAAGCUUUACUACAACUUGGUAUUGGCAUCCGGCUUCGCAUGUUCAGAAUAGGUGGGAGCCUUCGGGCAACCGUGAGAUACCACCCUUGCGUUGUCGGAUGUCUUAUCCUCGGCCGUCCAACCGGUCGAAGAGACAGUACCUGGUGGGUAGUUUGACUGGGGCGGUCGCCUCCCAAAAGGUAACGGAGGCGUUCACAAAGGUCGGCUAGGCGCGGAUGGAAAUCGCGUCGAUUCUGCAAAGGGAUAAGCCGGCUUAACUGCAAGGCUCACAAGCCGAGCAGAUGCGAAAGCAGGACUUAGUGAUCCGACCGUACGAUAUCGGACGGCGGAAGCUCAUCGGAUAAAAGCUACUCCGGGGAUAACAGGCUGAUCUCCCCCAAGCGUCCACAGCGACGGGGAGGUUUGGCACCUCGAUGUCGGCUCAUCGCAUCCUGGGGCUGAAGAAGGUCCCAAGGGUUAGGCUGUUCGCCUAUUAAAGCGGUACGCGAGCUGGGUUCAGAACGUCGUGAGACAGUUCGGUCUCCUGUCUACUGCGCGCGUGGAAUCUUGAGGAGGCACUUCCUUAGUACGAGAGGACCGGGAAGUACGAACCUCUCGUUUACCUGCUGUCCCACCAGGGGCACCGCAGGGUAGCGACGUUCGGUUAGGAUAAACGCUGAAAGCAUAUAAGCGUGAAGCCGUCUCCAAGAUUAGGAUUCAUUUGAGGGCCCUCCGAGACGAGGAGGUUGAUAGGCCAGAGGUGUACGGCGCGCGAGCGCUUCAGCCGACUGGUACUAAUAGCCCGAUGCCUCGGCCUU
This 3073-nucleotide ribosomal RNA is filed under the name Candidatus Uhrbacteria bacterium. Its description in RNAcentral is "bacterial LSU rRNA". It matches the Rfam family "Bacterial large subunit ribosomal RNA". The record is from RNAcentral. Lineage: Bacteria; Candidatus Uhriibacteriota. RNAcentral also lists the same sequence under 1 other name.